Molecule: non-coding RNA, 154 nt
Organism: Helianthus annuus (common sunflower)
Lineage: Eukaryota; Viridiplantae; Streptophyta; Magnoliopsida; Asterales; Asteraceae
Source: Rfam
GGUUCGAUGCCACGUCACCGGUAGCCAAAAGUGCAGUGACCGUUGAUGCUAUGAUUGAACCGAUAAUAAACUUUCGUGUGUUUCGCAUUUUAUAGGAACCUGUGAAUCGAUAAUAAUCCGUUCGUUCACGGAGCCGUUUUUUGCGAUUACAUUU